AGAAACCACCCGUGUACAAACCUCCAAUUGAGAAGCCACCUGUUUACAAACCCCCAGUAGAGAAGCCACCUGUUUACAAACCGCCAGUAGAGAAGCCGCCUGUUUACAAGCCACCAAUAGAGAAACCACCUGUGUACAAACCCCCAGUUGAGAAACCCCCUAUUUAUAAGCCACCAGUAGAGAAACCCCCAGUUUAUAAGCCACCAGUUGAGAAGCCUCCCGUAUAUAAGCCACCAGUUGAGAAGCCUCCCGUAUAUAAGCCACCAGUAGAGAAACCGCCUGUGUAUAAGCCACCGGUAGAGAAGCCACCAGUUUACAAACCUCCAGUUGAGAAACCACCUGUGUACAAACCACCGGUAGAGAAGCCACCAGUUUACAAACCUCCAGUUGAGAAACCACCGAUUUACAAACCACCAGUAGAGAAGCCACCUGUAUACAAACCACCAAUUGAGAAACCCCCUGUCUACACACCACCUGUAGAGAAACCUCCGGUAUACAAGCCACCAAUUGAAGAGCCUCCAGUUUAUAAGCCCCCAGUUGAGAAACCACCGGUUUACGGGCCUCCAUAUGAGAAGCCACCUCACUACCCAGGGUAUCCUCCAUAUGAGAAGCCACCUCACCACCCAGGGUAUCCUCCUGCCGAUGAUGACAAUCGUUUCUAAAACUUGUUAUAUUAAGAAAAUGUGAAAAAUAAGAGGUAUAUAUAGUUUUCGAA
This 715-nucleotide long non-coding RNA is filed under the name Cicer arietinum (chickpea). Its description in RNAcentral is "long non-coding RNA (CARI_LNC001996)". Lineage: Eukaryota; Viridiplantae; Streptophyta; Magnoliopsida; Fabales; Fabaceae. The record is from RNAcentral.